UGGUGCCUGCGCCGUGAUGGGGCGCAGGGUAAAAGGGAAACAGGUGAAAGUCCUGUGCGAUCUCGUCACUGUAAGUCCGGAGUGCAUAAUCAGGCUGCGUGCGGUCACUGAUGAAAGUCGGGAAGGCGAUUAUGUGCGAUGAUGGAUAAGUCAGGAAACCUGCCAGCUGUG
RNAcentral lists this non-coding RNA (171 nucleotides) under chicken gut metagenome. The record is from RNAcentral.